GGGGAUGUGGCUCAAGCGGUAGCGCGCUCGCCUAGCAUGCAUGUGGCCUGGGUUCAAUCCUCAGCAGCACCA
RNAcentral lists this transfer RNA (72 nucleotides) under Ictidomys tridecemlineatus (thirteen-lined ground squirrel). RNAcentral's name for it is "Spermophilus tridecemlineatus (thirteen-lined ground squirrel) tRNA". It matches the Rfam family "tRNA". Rfam says of the family: Transfer RNA (tRNA) molecules are approximately 80 nucleotides in length. Their secondary structure includes four short double-helical elements and three loops (D, anti-codon, and T loops). Further hydrogen bonds mediate the characteristic L-shaped molecular structure. tRNAs have two regions of fundamental functional importance: the anti-codon, which is responsible for specific mRNA codon recognition, and the 3' end, to which the tRNAs corresponding amino acid is attached (by aminoacyl-tRNA synthetases). tRNAs cope with the degeneracy of the genetic code in two manners: having more than one tRNA (with a specific anti-codon) for a particular amino acid; and 'wobble' base-pairing, i.e. permitting non-standard base-pairing at the 3rd anti-codon position. The record is from Rfam by way of RNAcentral. Lineage: Eukaryota; Metazoa; Chordata; Mammalia; Rodentia; Sciuridae.